RNAcentral lists this ribosomal RNA (459 nucleotides) under uncultured bacterium. RNAcentral's name for it is "partial 16S ribosomal RNA". It matches the Rfam family "Bacterial small subunit ribosomal RNA", at positions 338 to 795 of the family's 1533-position model. The record is from RNAcentral.
CCUACGGGUGGCAGCAGUGAGGAAUAUUGGUCAAUGGCCGGAAGGCUGAACCAGCCAAGCCGCGUGAAGGACGAAGGUGCAAAGCAUUGUAAACUUCUUUUGUCAGGGGACAAAAUCAGGCACGAGUGCCCGACCGAGGGUACCUUAAGAAAAAGCAUCGACUACCUCCGUGCCAGCAGCCGCGGUAACACGGAGGAUGCGAGGGUUAUCCGGAGUUAGUGGGGUAAAGGGGUGCGUAGGCGGAAUGUAAAGUCGACGGUAACAGCCCGGGGCUCAACCCCGGCGCGCCGUUGAAACUGGCUGUCUUGAGAUGGCGAGAGGUAUGCGGAAUGCGCGGUGGAGCGGUGAAAUGCAUAGAUAUCGCGCAGAACUCCGAUUGCGAAGGCAGCAUACCGGCGGCAAACUGACGCUGAGGCACGAAAGCGUGGGUAUCGAACAGGAUUAGAUACCCCUGUAGUC